CUGGAAGUAGUCACUCUGAGCGGGAUAACCGGAACAACAAGAUGGCGGAGAGUGAAGAGUUUCGGGAGUCCUUCCUGUAGCAGAGACCUCAGCGUGUUGACAGGAGAAACAGCCGCGUGGGACCACACCAACAGCAGCAUGAACCUCCAGCAGCCGGCACCUCUCGUCCCCCCCGUCCACCCUGAUGUGCAAAUGAAGCCCCUCCCCUUCUAUGAUGUGCUGGACAUCCUCAUCAAGCCUUCGAGUCUAGGAGCGAGUCCUGCACAGAGGUACCACCAAGAGAAAUACUUCAUCUUUGCCCUGACACCACAACAAGUUCGUGAAGUGUGCAUAUCCAGGUAGGAC
Molecule: long non-coding RNA, 345 nt
Organism: Notothenia coriiceps (black rockcod)
Lineage: Eukaryota; Metazoa; Chordata; Actinopteri; Perciformes; Nototheniidae
Exons: 3
Source: RefSeq, a predicted model, not a curated record